UACGAAGGGGGCUAGCGUUGUUCGGAUUUACUGGGCGUAAAGCGCACGUAGGCGGAUCGAUCAGUCAGGGGUGAAAUCCCUGGGCUCAACCCAGGAACUGCGUCCGAUACUGGUUGGCUUGAAUCCGGGAGAGGGAUGUGGAAUUCCAGGUGUAGCGGUGAAAUGCGUAGAUAUCUGGAGGAACACCGGUGGCGAAGGCGACAUCCUGGACCGGUAUUGACGCUGAGGCGCGAAAGCGUGGGGAGCAAACAGG
This 253-nucleotide ribosomal RNA is filed under the name uncultured bacterium. RNAcentral's name for it is "partial 16S ribosomal RNA". It matches the Rfam family "Bacterial small subunit ribosomal RNA", at positions 524 to 776 of the family's 1533-position model. The record is from RNAcentral.